UGGGGGAUAUUGCACAAUGGGGGGAACCCUGAUGCAGCGACGCCGCGUGGGUGAAGAAGCGCCUCGGCGCGUAAAGCCCUGUCAGCAGGGAAGAAAAUGACGGUACCUGAAGAAGAAGCCCCGGCUAACUACGUGCCAGCAGCCGNGU
RNAcentral lists this ribosomal RNA (148 nucleotides) under uncultured bacterium. RNAcentral's name for it is "partial 16S ribosomal RNA". It matches the Rfam family "Bacterial small subunit ribosomal RNA", at positions 355 to 520 of the family's 1533-position model. The record is from RNAcentral.